Long non-coding RNA from Phyllostomus discolor (pale spear-nosed bat), 264 nucleotides. RefSeq lists it as uncharacterized. The record is from RefSeq and is a predicted model, not a curated record. The transcript is spliced from 2 exons. Lineage: Eukaryota; Metazoa; Chordata; Mammalia; Chiroptera; Phyllostomidae.
AAUCCGGCUCUCCCCUACUUCCACGCUCAGUUUUUCCUCUACCUGCUGCAGUCUUAGCUGACUCGUGUUUAUUAACCAGUCAGACAUGCAGGGUGUUUGGAAAAUGAACACGAAGGCUGCAUCCUGUGUAAGGGAAAGUGGAGUGACACACGUCCUCGGAGGUCACACCUGGCAACAGCUACUGACAUUUAAAACGAACAACUCUUGGACCUACCGAUUUUAUUUAUGGGGAGUUACCUGAAGGGCAUACCGGUACUUGCAGAA